RNAcentral lists this transfer RNA (74 nucleotides) under Anaerolineales bacterium. Its description in RNAcentral is "tRNA-Gly". It matches the Rfam family "tRNA". From Rfam's summary of the family: Transfer RNA (tRNA) molecules are approximately 80 nucleotides in length. The record is from RNAcentral. Lineage: Bacteria; Bacillati; Chloroflexota; Anaerolineae; Anaerolineales.
GCGGGUGUAGUUCAAUGGUAGAACUUCAGCCUUCCAAGCUGAUCACGUGGGUUCGAUUCCCAUCGCCCGCUCCA